GGCCUAAUGGUCUAGUAGCAUGAUACCUCCUUCGGGAUUUAGCGGAUUCCGCGUUGACUCGUCGCGCUUGGAGGUGGUCCUGGGUUCAAUUCCCAGUUAGGCCC
This is a non-coding RNA of Lyophyllum atratum, 104 nucleotides long. The record is from the annotation of a GenBank genome assembly. Lineage: Eukaryota; Fungi; Basidiomycota; Agaricomycetes; Agaricales; Lyophyllaceae.